This 253-nucleotide ribosomal RNA is filed under the name uncultured bacterium. Its description in RNAcentral is "partial 16S ribosomal RNA". It matches the Rfam family "Bacterial small subunit ribosomal RNA", at positions 524 to 776 of the family's 1533-position model. The record is from RNAcentral.
AACGUAGGUGGCGAGCGUUGUCCGGAUUUACUGGGCGUAAAGAGCGCGCAGGCGGUCGUUCAAGUCGCGUGUGAAAGCCCCCGGCUCAACUGGGGAGGGUCACGCGAUACUGAUCGACUCGAAGGCAGGAGAGGGAAGUGGAAUUCCCGGUGUAGUGGUGAAAUGCGUAGAUAUCGGGAGGAACACCAGUGGCGAAGGCGACUUCCUGGCCUGUUCUUGACGCUGAGGCGCGAAAGCUAGGGGAGCAAACGGG